AUGGACCAUUCCAUCCCUUUUUCCCGUGCAUAUGCAUCGGACUCGGAUGACGAUGGUCCCGAUGAACAAGUUGAUGCGGAGGGGUUCACGGUGAAGGAGGCCGAAGCUUUCGAGAAGGUAUUUGGUCGGGAUCAUCGGACUACAUUGUUCAAGGAUGUUAGUCUCGCGGAUGAAGCCGUGGUAGAUGGUGGCCAAUGUGUACCUCUUGGGGUUAGGCCAAGCUCUCACCGUGAUUUGUUAGGCGACAAGAACCGGAUUGCUAAAGGUUCUAAGUUUGACACCUUGUUGAAAUUGAAGAUGUGGCUCGACAACUACUCGGUUACGCAUUAUCGUCCACACAAGGUGGUGAACUCGGACGUCAAUGUGCGCUACACGGUUGCAUGUGCAUGUGAAGAUGAAAUAUGUCCGUGGAUUGUGCGUGCAAGACCAUGGAAAGGAGGUCCAAUUUUGGCAUGUAGUGAGUUGUGUGCCAACUCACUUGUGCCAAGGCAAAAGGGUGGAUGGCAAGAUUGUGUCCCAAGACCACAAACAACUCACGUCCGAAUUCAUCGCUUACAGGCUCUCCAACUCAAUAUCCACACUUCCAACAAUGAGCGUCUAACAUGUCAUUGA
RNAcentral lists this ribosomal RNA (612 nucleotides) under Triticum aestivum (bread wheat). RNAcentral describes it as "partial small subunit ribosomal RNA". The record is from RNAcentral. Lineage: Eukaryota; Viridiplantae; Streptophyta; Magnoliopsida; Poales; Poaceae.